AGAUGAGUAAAACACACACACAAAAAAAAAGGUGAGUCACUUCUCUCUCAACGUCAAUAAGGUGUGCCUCUUUUCUUUUUUUUUUCUUUUUUUAAUCUUCUUCUCCUCCGAA
Molecule: non-coding RNA, 112 nt
Filed under: Platyophrya macrostoma
Lineage: Eukaryota; Ciliophora; Colpodea; Cyrtolophosidida; Platyophryidae
Source: RNAcentral